UACGUAGGGUGCAAGCGUUGUCCGGAAUUAUUGGGCGUAAAGAGCUCGUAGGCGGUCUGUCGCGUCGGCUGUGAAAACCUGGGGCUCAACCCCGGGCCUGCAGCCGAUACGGGCAGACUAGAGUGCGGUAGGGGAGAAUGGAAUUCCUGGUGUAGCGGUGGAAUGCGCAGAUAUCAGGAGGAACACCGGUGGCGAAGGCGGGUCUCUGGGCCGAUACUGACGCUGAGGAGCGAAAGCGUGGGGAGCGAACAGG
Molecule: ribosomal RNA, 253 nt
Filed under: uncultured bacterium
Lineage: Bacteria
Description: partial 16S ribosomal RNA
Rfam family: Bacterial small subunit ribosomal RNA
Source: RNAcentral